GAUGAACGCUAGCUACAGGCUUAACACAUGCAAGUCGAGGGGAAACGACAUCGGAAGCUUGCUUUUGAUGGGCGUCGACCGGCGCACGGGUGAGUAACGCGUAUCCAACCUGCCCACCACUUGGGGAUAACCUUGCGAAAGUAAGACUAAUACCCAAUGACGUCUCUAGAAGACAUCUGAAAGAGAUUAAAGAUUUAUCGGUGAUGGAUGGGGAUGCGUCUGAUUAGCUUGUUGGCGGGGUAACGGCCCACCAAGGCGACGAUCGGUAGGGGUUCUGAGAGGAAGGUCCCCCCACAUUGGAACUGAGACACGGUUCCAAAACUCCUACGGGAGGCAGCAGUGAGGAAUAUUGGUCAAUGGACGCAAGUCUGAACCAGCCAAGUAGCGUGCAGGAUGACGGCCCUAUGGGUUGUAAAACUGCUUUUUAUGCGGGGAUAAAGUGUACCAUGUAUGGUNUUUUGCAGGUACCGCAUGAAUAAGGACCGGCUAAUUCCGUGCCAGCAGCCG
Molecule: ribosomal RNA, 507 nt
Filed under: uncultured bacterium
Lineage: Bacteria
Description: bacterial SSU rRNA
Rfam family: Bacterial small subunit ribosomal RNA
Source: RNAcentral